Molecule: long non-coding RNA, 386 nt
Organism: Labeo rohita (rohu)
Lineage: Eukaryota; Metazoa; Chordata; Actinopteri; Cypriniformes; Cyprinidae
Exons: 3
Source: RefSeq, a predicted model, not a curated record
CUAGAUCUGAAUGGCCAUCUCUCAAACUGUACGCACUGAAUCGCGCCGGCGCCAUUACUUAUCGACUGUUUUGCUUAUUAUUGGGUAAUUUUCGGGAGAAGACGUUUGUCGUCAGUGUAUCCAAGGAAGCUUGAAAAAAAAUUCUCUUACAAACCAAAUUACCAAUUAAGAGGCAGAGAAGUCGGUGUCAAAGUGGCUAAUUGGUGACAGAAUCGGGGAAGAAACCAUUCUGCGAUAUCACAUAGUAGAGAGCAAGAUGAGGUCGAUGGGAGAGCGAGGACGGAGGAGUGACAGCAGCACUGUUGGUUUGUUUGUGAAAUAAUGCAUUUUAGAGUUUUCAGAUAUGCAUACACAUACAAUGCAAGUUAUGCCAAAUAAUGUUUGUU